GGUAUCGCCGUUAGUCAUGUGCAAAUAUGGAUAGCUGUUUUAGCUGUCUUUAUUGACUGGUUUAUAAGAGUUAUCAGAUAUCACUUUGAUUAAAUUAGAGUGCUUAAAGCAAGUGUGUUACUUGGAUAUAAAUGCAUGGAAUGAUGGAAUAUGUUGUUAUUCUAUUUGUUGGUUUUUGAAUGAUAAAAUGAUUGAAAGGAACUGUUGGGGGCAUUCGUAUUGUUGUGAGAGAGGUGAAAUUCUUAGACCACAGCAAGACGAACUACUGCGAAAGCAUUUGCCAAGAAUGUUUUCAUUGAUCAAGAACGAAAGUUAGAGGUUCGAAGGCGAUCAGAUACCGCCCUAGUUCUAACCAUAAACUAUGCCAACUAGCAAUUUGCUUUGUAUUUUUUAUGACUAAGUGAGAGGCCACGGGAAACCUAAGUAGGGUUAUGGGGGAAGUAUGGUUGCAAAGCUGAAACUUAAAGGAAUUGACGGAAGGGCACCACCAGGAGUGGAGCCUGCGGCUUAAUUUGACUCAACACGGGAAAACUUACCUGGUCCUGACACUAGAAGGAUUGACAGAUUGAUAGCUCUUUCUUGAUUUGGUGGAUGGUGGUGCAUGGCCGUUCUUAGUUGGUGGAGUGAUUUGUCUGGUUAAUUCCGAUAACGAACGAGACUCUAGCCUAUUAAAUAAUACACGGAAUUUUAUCUUCCGCGGUAUUUCUUAGUGGAAUCAAGCG
Molecule: ribosomal RNA, 722 nt
Filed under: uncultured eukaryote
Lineage: Eukaryota
Description: SSU rRNA
Rfam family: Eukaryotic small subunit ribosomal RNA
Source: RNAcentral